Molecule: ribosomal RNA, 256 nt
Filed under: uncultured bacterium
Lineage: Bacteria
Description: partial 16S ribosomal RNA
Rfam family: Bacterial small subunit ribosomal RNA
Source: RNAcentral
GGCGGACGGGUGAGUAAUGUCUGGGAAACUGCCUGAUGGAGGGGGGAUGACUACUGGAAACGGUAGCUAAUACCGCNUAACGUCGCAAGACCAAANAGGGGGACCUUCGGGCCUCUUGCCAUUGGAUGUGCCAAGAUGGGAUUAGCUAGUAGGUGGGGUAACGGCUCACCUAGGCGACGAUCCCUAGCCGGUCUGAGAGGAUGACCAGCCACACUGGAACUGAGACACGGUCCAGACUCCUACGGGAGGCAGCAUG